UCUCAUAGAUGGCGCUGUUCGUUUGGUAGUAAGAAAUUUAAAUUUGUUCUACGAAAUUCACUUUUUUUGUGAAUAUUUCAAAAACUACAUAUCUCAGGGCGACAAAAUUUGACCUGCUGAUUUACAAAAAAAUUAGCUUUCACCAGGUCAAAUUUUAUCCCUAACCGAUGUUUAAUUUGGGAAAUAUUUAAUUCAAAUUGAUUUCCCCCAUACAUUUUUCAAACUGCUUCCCUGUUUGAAAAAUGUCGCACGUCGUACGAGUUGUCGCACGGUUUUGAUUUUACCGUUUCGAUAUCGAUUGGUCGAAAGGACGACAAACGUACGACAAACACUCGACAUGCCCGACGUUGUUUUUUCCAUCGAUUUACCUUCAAUUCGACGUCGAUUAUCGUCGACGCAAACAGUUUGACAGUUCUCUUCAGUUGAACUUGUUCGGACUUGAUUGCAACCGAGUCGAACAAAUUGUUGUUGGUUUUAGGCUUUGGGAGGAUUUUGGCCAGUUUAAAGGUAAGUUGUGUUCUAGAUUGAAUUACUUUUUCUGCCGGAAAGUUCCGGCCGGAGUGGGCGACAACCGAAUCAAAUUGUCUUGUAUUCCAGGUCUUCGUGGCGGUAUAGGAGGAAGAGGAGGACGGGAAAUAUGGAUUACUCGGCGAGCCAUUCCGGAAGACGGGACGGGAAGGAACCAGUUUGCGAUCGAGGAAGCCGUUAGUGUUUGGUGUUUUACUUUCCGCGGGAGGUUGCCUCCAUAUCUAAUGGAACUGGCAACAAACAUAUUCUGAUCUGAUCCUGCCGGAAACCAUGCGUCCCCGUGUGGUCCCGCGUGGCUUCCGUAGAACCCAAGGAAGCAGCCUCUCGUACUCCGGUAAACAUCAAUCCGUCGGAGGUUCAAGAUCGUCGCCAAGGUGUCGCAUCCGGGUUUUGAUCAGCGCGUCGAGGAGCAAAAGUCCAACACGGCCAAGAUGCUGCCACGGCCGCCUCCAACAUCCAAGCCGGAAGCUGCGGUCAAGGCAAAU
This is a long non-coding RNA of Culex pipiens pallens (northern house mosquito), 1013 nucleotides long. RefSeq lists it as uncharacterized. Lineage: Eukaryota; Metazoa; Arthropoda; Insecta; Diptera; Culicidae. The transcript is spliced from 2 exons. The record is from RefSeq and is a predicted model, not a curated record.